Molecule: non-coding RNA, 1707 nt
Organism: Chrysemys picta bellii (western painted turtle)
Lineage: Eukaryota; Metazoa; Chordata; Testudines; Emydidae
Source: RefSeq, a predicted model, not a curated record
AUAAAUGACCCUGAAACUGGAAAGUGCCACCAUGGGCUGUGAUAUCAUUAGAUUCCUCUGAGCCAGCCAGAGGCUGAAGCUGACAGAGCAGCUGCAAAAAGCAGUCCAAGCAGAGACUCACAGACACUGAGGAUCUCAUCAGACUAUUUUCUAUAGAUUUUACUCUGAACAUUCUUUUUCCUGUGCUGAUUGGCUCUUUGCUCCAACCUGUUCUGCCCUCUCCCUUCCUUUGUCUUUCCAUCUAGCUAAUCCCCUCCUUAGGCCUGCUCUGCACUACAAAGUUAGGUUGCAUUGCCUUGCAUUGACCUAGCUGGGUAUGUCUCUACACUUAAAUUUGUCUCCCUCUGAUGUAAGCGCCUUGUAACAGCAAAUCACUAACACGGCUCCCUGAGCAGUGUUGAGCCAUGGACGAUGUACUGCGGUUGAAGCAGCACCUAUGUUGACCCUAACAGUCUCCAAUGGCUGUCCACAAUGUGUAGCACUGACCACUCUGGGCAAAGUUGUGAACUCCACUGCCUAGGGGUCACAGAGACCAGAAGGCCCUUCCUCCUUUAAAGCCCCGCAAAUUUUGAAAUGCAUUUUUCCUGAUUGUCCAGCUUGGUAAGCACACCUAGCAGCUCUCCAUUGUUGUGUGUAACUGUGCUGCUGACCACGGUAGCUACAUGCUCCUGACUUGGAAUAGACCGGAGAUAUUGGAUCUCCUGGGCCUGCGGGGAGAAGAGGCUGUGUAACACAGCUAUGGACCAGCCAUAGAAACGUGGACAUCCAUGAGCAGAUUGCACAGGGGAUGCAGGAAAAGGAGUACGACAGGGGCUAGCAGCAGUGCUGUGUGAAAGCGAAGGAACUGCAUCAGGCAUAUCAGAAGGCCAUGGAGGCAUACAGUCGAUUUGGGGCUGAACCACAGACCUGCUGCUUUUACAAAGAGCUGCAUGCCAUACUUGGUGGAGACACCCCCUCCCCCGCAGACCACUGUGGAUACCUCCGAGGAGCCCAACCACUGCCCUGGCCAUGAACAGCGAGGAUGAGGAAGAUGGGGGAUUUGUGAGUGAGGGUGUCCAGCUAUGCCGUGAGCCAGGACCUGUUUGAGGCUCCACUGCAGUCCACUCAGUCCGGCAGUUGAGCAUGGGCGAGCCCAGUGCGGGGAAUGGAACCUCGGCUGCUGCCAUUGCAGCCUUGAAGGGUUCCCCUUCCACACCUGUGCAACGCCUGAGCAAGAUAAGGAGGACAAAGAAGAGGACUCAGGAUGACAUAUUCAGUGAGAUCCUGCAAGCCAGUGCUGCAUCGAACUGUGAGCAGGGGGCCUAGAGGAUGAAUGUUGCACACUGUAUGGAGAAGGAAAGAGCCGACAGUAGAAAGGCACAGGAGCAUCAUCAGGAAAAGGAGUGAGAAAUGCAUGAGGACAUAACGGGGCUUCUCCAGCAGCAAACACAGAUACUUCAGACUCUUGUGAAUCUACAGGGUCAACAGUCAUGGGCUCACCUCCCUUUGUAGUCUGUCGAAAACUCCAUUACACACCUCCGUACACCUCCUCAGCAUUCCACGUGGCAUCAGGGGCUGCAUCCCUCUCCUAUCACUCUGCCCCAGGGGACAGUCGGGACAACCACAGCUUCACACAUGCUGACCUGUGAAAGCCACGGUUCCUGUAUAUGUAGCUAAAAUGGACGUGAAUGUUCUUUCCCCUUGUUAAAGUUCUCUUCCAUUAAUUUA